ACCGGGCUAAAUCAAAUUGGGAAAAAUAUUGAUCACUAAUUGGACUUUAUUGUCCAUAAGAAAAUAUUGUUACAUAGUGGGGAAAUAUAGUUACUAGCCUGCUUGUAGGUGUCAUAGAAGAACUUGGUAUCUUAAUUCCCACCUUGUGUACAAUUUCAAGAGGGAUAAUACUCAGGAUGCUUCUAGAAGCCACGUUCCUGGUCUUUGACCUUCUAGCCCACCCAGCCCAUCAGAGCAUUUAGUCUGAACCAGAGUUGAAGUGAAGUUUCUUUGAGUAGAGUCCUUACUAGGGUGAGGCAGAAGAGUUCUACAAUCACAGGCUUAGGUAUCUUUUUUAUUUAACAUAUGGAUACAUCUCAUUGCAAAAGCCCUGGAUUUAAACCCCAAUACCGCCUCCCUCGCCCCAAAUAUUCAUUAAGAUCCCGGGCCACCCAAUUCCGGAAGGAAAACAAGAUCGCAUCGGCCAAUUUGGGGCCUGAAGUUCGAAACAAGCACCCAGGGUGGGUCACCCGAUCCCUAGCCCUCUUAAGAUUCACUCCUAAAGGACUCGCUCCAGUCUGCAGGGCGCACGAGUCUCCGGGUUCCAGGCUGUAGGCCCUGUCGGCGCCCCACCGGCAGUCUCCGGGCUCGCAAGUCCGCCUGGGGAGGAGGAGGCCUAGGCGGCCGCCAGCUCAAAGAGCGCCCUCGGGCGGGAGGCUGCGCGCCACGCCAUCCAUUGCGCAUGCGUACGCGCCGCAGACGCCCCCUCCUCUCCCUGAUCCGGGCCCUGCGCAGUAGAGCUGAUGCCGCGUCCCCCCUGUGCGGGCGUGUGAGCUUUUCCUUCCUACAGUUUGUCUCCUCACCCACCCUGCUCCCUGCCCGUAGUGCCUCCGGCCGCCAGACCGCGCUGUCUCUGCCCAGCACCCUCUGCGGGUGGCACAGCAGCGCCUACAGGUGUCCUGAGGCAGAAUUGGGCGAGGGCCUGGAGACGCUGUGGUCCCCCCCACCCGUGCCUUGUGACGCCUGGGCUUGA
This 1012-nucleotide long non-coding RNA is filed under the name Fukomys damarensis (Damara mole-rat). RNAcentral's name for it is "lncRNA (ENSFDAG00000033519.1)". The record is from RNAcentral. Lineage: Eukaryota; Metazoa; Chordata; Mammalia; Rodentia; Bathyergidae.